This 128-nucleotide small RNA is filed under the name Sodalis glossinidius str. 'morsitans'. RNAcentral's name for it is "RtT". It matches the Rfam family "RtT RNA". From Rfam's summary of the family: This family represents a bacterial cis-regulatory element known as RtT RNA. The exact function of RtT is unknown although it is thought that it may be involved in changing the cellular response in relation to amino acid starvation. Lineage: Bacteria; Pseudomonadati; Pseudomonadota; Gammaproteobacteria; Enterobacterales; Bruguierivoracaceae. The record is from RNAcentral.
CCUGAGCUUCGCGGGGGAAGGUGAGAACCUUCGACCCAGGUUCGCGUCGAGCCUCGCGAAACAACGAUGUGCAGUAUCGGCCCGCAGGGUGAGGCGCAACGCUCCGAAUCAUCCUUCAUCCCCCCCUU